GCCUGGGUGGCUCAGUCGGUUGAGCGACUGACUUCGGCUCAGGUCAUGAUCUCACGGUUUGUGAGUUCGAGCCCCACGUCGGGCU
Molecule: transfer RNA, 85 nt
Filed under: Felis catus (domestic cat)
Lineage: Eukaryota; Metazoa; Chordata; Mammalia; Carnivora; Felidae
Also listed under: 2 other names
Rfam family: tRNA
About the family: Transfer RNA (tRNA) molecules are approximately 80 nucleotides in length. Their secondary structure includes four short double-helical elements and three loops (D, anti-codon, and T loops). Further hydrogen bonds mediate the characteristic L-shaped molecular structure. tRNAs have two regions of fundamental functional importance: the anti-codon, which is responsible for specific mRNA codon recognition, and the 3' end, to which the tRNAs corresponding amino acid is attached (by aminoacyl-tRNA synthetases). tRNAs cope with the degeneracy of the genetic code in two manners: having more than one tRNA (with a specific anti-codon) for a particular amino acid; and 'wobble' base-pairing, i.e. permitting non-standard base-pairing at the 3rd anti-codon position.
Source: Rfam by way of RNAcentral